UCUCAGUUCGGACUGUGGUCUGCAACUCGACCACACGAAGCUGGAAUCGCUAGUAAUCGCGAAUCAGCAUGUCGCGGUGAAUACGUUCCCGGGUCUUGUACACACCGCCCGUCACACCAUGGGAGUCAGCAACGCCCGAAGUCAGUGACCUAACCGAGAGGAAGGAGCUGCCGAAGGCGGGGCAGGUAACUGGGGUGAAGUCGUAACAAGGUAUC
This 215-nucleotide ribosomal RNA is filed under the name uncultured bacterium. RNAcentral describes it as "partial 16S ribosomal RNA". It matches the Rfam family "Bacterial small subunit ribosomal RNA", at positions 1286 to 1500 of the family's 1533-position model. The record is from RNAcentral.